CAUAACUUCUACUCUACUGGACAGUGUCCCCCAUUUCAUACCCACAGUUGCCCUGUGAACCGUAAGUUCUGUGAGAGCAAAGAAUGCCUACAGCCUGGACAGGGGGUGGAUGGGGGGCGGUCAUCGUGCAGCCAGUCCCCCACUCCCUCUCCUCCACAGCCCUCUGGGUCUCUGCCUCUGUUUUCCUUCAGGCCAUUUCCUAACAGGGCUUUCCACAGCUAAUCCUCUGGCCUGGUGCCUGUUACUGGUGUUUCUAAAUGAGUGUAGAUGAUCAAAUUCCUUGCACUUCCUUGACCUCCUUCUCACGGAUAUUCCCACCCAAGUCCUCUUUCAGACAAGCUGGAAGUGCAGUCCCUUAGCACCAGGCUGUCCGAGGAGGUCAGAGCCUCAAGCCAGGCCCUGGCUUGGAGGAAAAGGCGAGAGCUCCUGGAGCCGCGCACUUUCCAGGAUAAAGACGUCUCAGCAAAGGCAGGAGGAGAGGAAGAUGAGGAGAGACAGGGAGUUUUCUCUGCUUCUUCCCCUGCUUUUGUACUUCUCGGCUUGGCCAGGGCCAGGCAGGGGACCCAGGGGGAGCACAUCGAUGUUUGGAAAGAGCUUAAGGCAACUCCCCCUGAGUGCUGGAGGUUAUUUGUGGAGAAGGCAAAGGAGAAAAGGAAAAGACUUCCAGCCCAGACCUCACUGUUUGCCGGGGGCCUGAAUCCCUCUCCGACGCAGAAGCUCUGGUCCCUGCUUCCAGGUUUGCUCAACCCAGAGUCCUGGCAAUGGGAGAGCUCUGGGAGAAGGCAGAUCUGGAGCUGUGAUGAGAAGCUGGCAGGCAGACACUAGGGGACUGGCCCCAAUCCCCCUCACCCACAAGACUCUCCUGCCAAUGACAGCUAACCCGGGGGAGCCCCAGAAUGCCACUGGGCAAGCCUGGGUGGGGCCCACCGGCCGCUGCAUCUGACUGCGGGUCAGGUCAGGUGCUUCCACAGUGAAGCACCACGGUCGUGUCCUUGUGCGGGGACCACAGGCAAGUCACUUGGUCCUUCUGGCCAGCUUCUGUCUUUGCGUCCUAUUGGCCUUGCCUGCCGGCUCCGGCUGUCAUCAAAGGAGGGCUGUUUUUGAGAUCAAGUAUCUGAAUGUUCUUACAAUGUGAGGUUGAAGUGCAAUUACUCACAGGGCCUGUCUCAGAAGCCAGACCAUACUGCUGAACUGGAUUAGUCAUUUUGCUGCCUCUAAGCAUACAGCCACCUAUAAACUGGAACUUCCUAAUGGCAGCCUGUCACUUCCACCGAGACCCACCAGUUGAAUGCCUUCAGACCUGUUCUCCACAUCCUCAUCAAAGCUGAGGCAGGACCGCUGGUAUUUUCCGAGCGUAUUUAAGGUGCACUGUAGAAACACCAAGGGAUGAUGCAGUGAUGACACCAGCACCCCCCACCCCACUUCUUCAUCUUGGGAGGUAACUCUGUGGGCCAGGCUGAGUUAUUCGGGAUUCUGAUUUUGACUCCAUGCCACCAGCCCUCUCCCCUCUGGGCUCCUUCGGGAUGGCAGUCCUGGAGCUCUUCUUUCCUGCCUUUGACAUGAUAAACAUAACGCCCUUUUCGGCUAAGGGACUGUCUGGCUGUCGCAGGGCACACAUGUGCUCCACCUCCACCUUCAAGGGCAGCCACUGUGUAUCCCUGGACUGGGAGGAGCUGGAAGAGGACCGGAAGGGAAACAGGAAGCAGGGAAUGCUUUGUCCAAGCCCCUCUCCUUAAGGAUGAACCACCUUUUCUGUGAGAAGCUGGAAUUCUCUGCCUUUAUUUUCCCAGCAGCCAGGUUCCCACUCAGGGGUGAAGCAACCCUG
RNAcentral lists this long non-coding RNA (1825 nucleotides) under Bos indicus x Bos taurus (hybrid cattle). RNAcentral's name for it is "lncRNA (ENSBIXG00000015885.1)". The record is from RNAcentral. Lineage: Eukaryota; Metazoa; Chordata; Mammalia; Artiodactyla; Bovidae.